CCUACGGGAGGCAGCAGUGGGGAAUCUUGCGCAAUGGGGGCAACCCUGACGCAGCCAUGCCGCGUGAAUGAUGAAGGCCUUAGGGUUGUAAAGUUCUUUUGCCCGUGACGAUGAUGACGGUAACGGGAGAAUAAGCUCCGGCUAACUUCGUGCCAGCAGCCGCGGUAAUACGAAGGGGGCUAGCGUUGUUCGGAAUUACUGGGCGUAAAGCGCGCGCAGGCGGUUCGAUAAGUUAGGGGUGAAAUCCCUGGGCUCAACCCAGGAAUGGCCUUUAAGACUGUCGAGCUAGAGGGCGAGAGAGGUGAGUGGAAUUCCCAGUGUAGAGGUGAAAUUCGUAGAUAUUGGGAAGAACACCGGUGGCGAGGGCGGCUCACUGGCUCGUUUCUGACGCUGAGGCGCGAAAGCGUGGGGAGCAAACAGGAUUAGAUACCCUGGUAGUCCACGCCCUAAACGAUGAGUGCCAGGUGUCGGGAAGCUUAGCUUCUCGGCGCCGCAGCUACGACCUUACGUACACUCCGCCGUCGGGUAGGUACGGCCGCCGAACGGUUAAAACCGUUAACAAACUAGAAGUUAGUACGGCGUGAGACGUCGCCGAACGGACGACGACGAGGGAGGUAGG
RNAcentral lists this ribosomal RNA (619 nucleotides) under uncultured bacterium. RNAcentral's name for it is "bacterial SSU rRNA". The stretch from base 1 to 520 matches the Rfam family "Bacterial small subunit ribosomal RNA", at positions 338 to 873 of the family's 1533-position model. The record is from RNAcentral.